RNAcentral lists this unclassified non-coding RNA (207 nucleotides) under Hevea brasiliensis (rubber tree). The record is from RNAcentral. Lineage: Eukaryota; Viridiplantae; Streptophyta; Magnoliopsida; Malpighiales; Euphorbiaceae.
CGGGCCUCGUGGGGGUUCUGGUAGAGGGCGUUCAUGUCGCGAGAGGUGUCCUCAGUGUUCUCCCAGUCGAAGGAGAAGCGGAACUUCUCGCUCGGCUUGAUGACGCGCUUCUUCGGCUUCUUUGAUCCCAAGUACUGCUCCUUGAUGGACUCCAGCUCCUUCUCGCGCUCGCGCUCCGCCUGCUUCUCGAGGCGCUGGCGCUCGCGG